GGACAUAGCUCAGUUGGUAGAGUUCUUGCCUUGUAUGUACAAGAUCCUGGGUUCAAUCCCCAGCACCA
RNAcentral lists this transfer RNA (68 nucleotides) under Marmota monax (woodchuck). Its description in RNAcentral is "tRNA.Thr". The record is from RNAcentral. Lineage: Eukaryota; Metazoa; Chordata; Mammalia; Rodentia; Sciuridae.